AUAAAAAAACAAAAAUUAAAAAAAAAACAGCAGCAGUUAAUAAAAAUGAGUUGGCACCUAAUGAGAACUUUAGCUGUACCAUCAAAGGCUAAUUCAUAGACAGCACACUUACGUGUUUUUGUGUGCUCCUUUUUAUAAACAUUGCCUGAUUUUCUUUGAUCCUUUGGUUUUCUUUGAUCCCUCUUAUGUCUUUUAACCUCCAUCACUAAUCCUAAAUGCAGUCUUGGGCUCAUUAACUUUGGUUUCUUAGAGUAUUCUCACAGCUUUGCUCAGGCUUAACAUAUUCUGUCAGUAUUUAGAUUUGGGGAUUAUUCUGGCUCAUUCUAGCCAGGAACAUCCAACUGUUCUUGGUCCAUAAGUUACUUAAUAAAGUAACUUAAGUGAUUUAUUAAGUGAUUAUUUUCCACAGUUAAUUACCAAGGAGGUUCUCCAUUAUUACCAUCUUCUUGGAAAUUUCUCAUUUUAAGUGAGCCCUUGAGGGCUUCAAACCAAAACAAUAUUAAUACAAACGAUGGGAUUUCCUUUUUUUAAAUUAGGUUACAAGACUCUGGCUUUUGAUUGCCUCAAAAAAAGCAGCUCACAUUAUGAAGGCAGCUAAGGGAGAAAUUGAUAUAAGAGAAAGCCAAAGCCCAAGAGAACUUAAAACUAGACUCUGUAGAAAAAGUCCGGCUUUGAUAGAAGAUAUUCAAGAAAAACUGUUGAACAUCACUGGCUAUUAGGAAACUAUAAACAAACUGACAGUGAAGCAAGAAACAAUGAUACCAGGAAGAGGGGAGAAGGAAGGUAAAUAUGAUCAGAGUAUAAGAUAUACACAAAAAUGCCACAGUAAAACCAAAGACUUUGUACAAUUAAUACAUGCUUUAAAAAAAAAAGAUAACUAAGAGAUGGGUUUGGUGGGGCACACAUGUAAUACCAGCACAAAGGAGACUGAGGCAGGACAAUUAAUAGAGGCCUGCCUGAGGUACAUACAGAUACUCUAUCUCAAGAAAACAAAAACACAAAGAUUGACAGUGAGAUUACUGCAACACAUAAAAGAAGAGCUAAAAUUAUGAUAGUUUCAAUCUGAAAUGUUUGUAACAAUGAAAAACUGAAUCUCUCAUUCAUACAUUUUUGACAGACAUAGCAACUCUACAAAAGUAGUUUGGCAUGUUUUAUUUAAAAAACAAGAACAAAAAACCUAAGCAUAUACUAAUUAUACAACCAGCAAUUAUACAUCUAAUUGCAUAUCCCUCAGAAAUUUGGUAUGUCUAUGCAGAAACAUGUACCCAACUAGUCUUAGCAAUUUUUAAAUAGCACAAAACUGUAAUCAGUCUAAAUAAUCUACAGUAUUCCUUAUACAAGCACAUGACAGAGAACUAUUUAAUAACAAUAAACUAUACAACAGUAACUAGGGUAGAGUGCAAGGACAUUAUAUUAAAUGAAAACAUAACACUCUUCAGUUGGUAGAGCAUGUGCCUAGCAUUAGUGAUGAUACUAACACCUACAUUAUCACUUGUAGACAUUAGUGUUACUGUUAUGAAAAAUCAGGACAGAAUAGGCAAUCACAACCCAAAAAUAGGAAAACAAACCCAAACAUUAAAAAGAACUAAUUAAGGAUGUGUUUUUCUUCUUCUACAAAAGAAACAAACAACAGAAGUGUGGAAAAAGAAACCAUCAGAUCUAGCAAUUUCAAUCAUCUUAUAUAUUAAUUCUUUAAAAACUUCAAUAUAUGUACUUAAGCUAGAUUUUUUAAGUUUGCUUUUCAAAUUACAUUUAUUAUAGGCAAUAACAACAUUUUCUUUUAAAAAGCUAUGAAACAUCUACUAUAAACUGUUACAUUGCUUGGACAAAUGAUAUUGUUCAAGGUCUCUUAACCAUAUUUUGUCAGAUGAAUCUACAUUAAUAAUCAUUUAACAACUCCAUUAAAUAUGUAACAACUUAGAACAAGAAAAAAGUGUAUUUGCACA
Molecule: non-coding RNA, 1946 nt
Organism: Castor canadensis (American beaver)
Lineage: Eukaryota; Metazoa; Chordata; Mammalia; Rodentia; Castoridae
Source: RefSeq, a predicted model, not a curated record